CCUACGGGAGGCAGCAGUGGGGAAUCUUGCGCAAUGGGCGAAAGCCUGACGCAGCAACGCCGCGUGCGGGAAGAAGGCUCUCGGGUUGUAAACCGCUUUCAGCAGGAACGAAAAUGACGGUACUUGCAGAAGAAGGUGCGGCCAACUACGUGCCAGCAGCCGCGGUGACACGUAGGCACCAAGCGUUGUCCGGAUUUAUUGGGCGUAAAGAGCUCGUAGGCGGUUCGGUAAGUCAGGUGUGAAAACUUUGGGCUCAACCCAAAGCCUGCAUCUGAUACUGCUGUGACUAGAGUUCGGUAGGGGAGCGGGGAAUUCCUAGUGUAGCGGUGAAAUGCGCAGAUAUUAGGAGGAACACCGGUGGCGAAGGCGCCGCUCUGGGCCGAAACUGACGCUGAGGAGCGAAAGCGUGGGUAGCAAACAGGAUUAGAUACCCUGGUAGUCCACGCCGUAAACGUUGGGCACUAGGUGUGGGUUUCAACCAACGAAAUCCGCGCCGUCGCUAACGCAUUAAGUGCCCCGCCUGGGGAGUACGGCCGCAAGGUUAAAACUACAAAGAAUUGACGG
RNAcentral lists this ribosomal RNA (564 nucleotides) under uncultured bacterium. RNAcentral's name for it is "bacterial SSU rRNA". It matches the Rfam family "Bacterial small subunit ribosomal RNA", at positions 338 to 916 of the family's 1533-position model. The record is from RNAcentral.